UGCAUCGGCUGGGAAUCGAACCCGGGUCGCCCGCGUGGCAGGCGAGCAUUCUACCACUGAACCACCUAUGC
This 71-nucleotide transfer RNA is filed under the name Cordylochernes scorpioides. RNAcentral describes it as "tRNA-Gly". Lineage: Eukaryota; Metazoa; Arthropoda; Arachnida; Pseudoscorpiones; Chernetidae. The record is from RNAcentral.